Molecule: long non-coding RNA, 730 nt
Filed under: Parus major (Great Tit)
Lineage: Eukaryota; Metazoa; Chordata; Aves; Passeriformes; Paridae
Description: lncRNA (ENSPMJG00000006895.1)
Source: RNAcentral
UUGGAACAAAUAAUAAUGACAGAAAUGUAUGAACAAGAAUGAAAGAUGAGGAAAGAUUUCCCUCCAUUCCUGAAGAAGAACCGCAACAAAUAUCAUUUUGUGUUCUGUACAGGUCACAGCACUUGGGAUCUUACUGUGGAAAGAAUGUGAGGGAGAAGCAAUUCCAAAGCUUCCUGGGGGUUAAUAGCACCACUGGAUCCAGUUCAUUGUCAGUAUUGCAUCUGCACCUGGGGAGAGAAGUCUCUUACUGAAGCUGCCCCUGAAGGGAGAUGCACAGAUCUUGUUCCAGCAUCACUUCUAUAUUUAGACUCAGAGGUUUUUGUUUGGUGUUAUCACUGUGGGUAUGGAUCAUGUUAAUAUCGAGUUACAUGUGCAUAUGGGUAGGACAGCAUAUGCUCAAUACUGGCUUUCUGUUGAGCUCCAGAGGCAAAGCUCAUAUCUGAGCACUUACAGAAGAGGAAACCACAGCUCCUAAAGUCACCUGAGGGAGUCUGUGUUUGCAGUUACAUACAGCAUCGUUUGGCUCAGGAGCUAUUCCAACUUCAUGUGAUAAUUUGAGGUGACAUUUCCAAUGCUGUGGAAGAAAAACCACUUUCCUGGACAAAAAAAGAAAGAACAGGAAAAAAAAAUAUCAACGCAUAUCAGCAUGAGUAAAUGAAAUGAAUGAUUCCAGUAUUUUUUUUAAAGGUUGUUCCUAUGAAUAAACCAUUUCUGAAAUUGUAGUUUAUCA